Molecule: non-coding RNA, 80 nt
Organism: Paramuricea clavata
Lineage: Eukaryota; Metazoa; Cnidaria; Anthozoa; Malacalcyonacea; Plexauridae
Source: the annotation of a GenBank genome assembly
GACCGCGUAGCUCAGUUGGCAGAGCAUUGGGCUAGUGUUCCAAAGGUCUAUAGUCGUAGGUUCGAUUCCAACCGUGGCCG